ACUCCUACGGGAGGCAGCAGUGGGGAAUAUUGCACAAUGGGGAAGCCCUGAUGCAGCCAUGCCGCGUGUGUGAAGAAGGCCUUCGGUUGUAAAGCACUUUCAGUAGGGAGGAAGGUAGUGUAGUUAACACCUGCACUAUUUGACGUUACCUACAGAAGAAGCACCGGCUAACUCCGUGCCAGCAGCCGCGGUAAUACGGAGGGUGCGAGCGUUAAUCGGAAUUACUGGGCGUAAAGCGCAUGCAGGCGGCCUGUUAAGUCAGAUGUGAAAGCCCGGGGGCUUAACCUCGGAAUUGCAUUUGAAACUGGCAGGCUAGAGUCUUGUAGAGGGGGUAGGAAUUUCAGGUGUAGCGGUGAAAUGCGUAGAGAUCUGAAGGAAUACCAGUGGCGAAGGCGGCCCCCUGGACAAAGACUGACGCUCAGAUGCGAAAGCUGGGGAGCAAACAGGAUUAGAUACCCUGGUAGGAUAGCG
This 471-nucleotide ribosomal RNA is filed under the name uncultured bacterium. Its description in RNAcentral is "bacterial SSU rRNA". It matches the Rfam family "Bacterial small subunit ribosomal RNA", at positions 335 to 801 of the family's 1533-position model. The record is from RNAcentral.